GAUAAACGCUGGCGGCGCACAUAAGACAUGCAAGUCGAACGGACGACUUUAACUUGUUUUACUUGUUAAAGAAGUUAGUGGCGGACUGGUGAGGAACACGUAAAUAAUCUGCCUAUAAGAGGGGAACAACAGUGAGAAAUCACUGCUAAUACCGCAUAAUUCAUAUUGCUCGCAUGAACAGUAUGGAAAAGGAGCAAUCCGCUUAUAGAUGAGUUUGCGUCUGAUUAGCUAGUUGGUGUGGUAACGGCAUACCAAGGCGACGAUCAGUAGCCGUGCUGAGAGGCAGAACGGCCACAUUGGGACUGAGAUACGGCCCAG
Molecule: ribosomal RNA, 318 nt
Filed under: uncultured bacterium
Lineage: Bacteria
Description: bacterial SSU rRNA
Rfam family: Bacterial small subunit ribosomal RNA
Source: RNAcentral